Molecule: ribosomal RNA, 263 nt
Filed under: Armillaria borealis
Lineage: Eukaryota; Fungi; Basidiomycota; Agaricomycetes; Agaricales; Physalacriaceae
Description: partial 26S ribosomal RNA
Rfam family: Eukaryotic large subunit ribosomal RNA
Source: RNAcentral
AGCAGAAUCCGUGCUAGAAACGAUGAUGUUGGUGUCGCACAUUAGACUUGUGUUUAAAUAGAGCUUUGCUCGUGAACCAAAUAUGGUGGGCUGGGUUGUCUUUGUGGAAACGCUUAGGCGACUUGUCUACGAAUUGUAAUCAUAAUAUGGGCGGCGGUGAAUCCUUUGCAGACGACUUGAAUGGGAACGGGGUACUGUAAGUGGUAGAGUAGCCUUGUUGCUACGAUCCACUGAGGUUAAGCCCUUGUUCUAAAGAUUUGUUC